CAGAGAACCUCAGACAAUUUGCUUUUGGAAAAGCGCUAAUCAACCACAUAUUCAUCUGGAAUGAAAAUGCCUCUCUAGCAAGACAUUGUGUGAUAAUGAAGUACAGGAGCUGUUGUUCAUCAUUUCCUUCCCUAAUUUGUUCCAAGAUUAGCUGACUUGUCACAGUCAUUUCCUCGUGGUCCACCACCCUGCCAUGACGGUUGAAGAGCAUAAAGGAGAAAACUUGGACAGAAGAAAACUUGAAAGUGUCCUUCAAAGAGCAGCUCAGUGGACGUGCCCUUCUCAAAACACUGGAUCUUUUCUUUUGAGAUGACCGGGGGGAGGGGUACAAAGUUGAAAAAGGGACCCCCCACAGAUACAUUUGCUACCACCUGUUGUGAAAUGUUGAACCUGCAAAAGAGGCACAGAUAGUGUCCUACUUUCUUAACUAGUAACAGCUGUUUCUGAAAAUAACAGAAACAGAAGCCAAUCCUUUAUGCAAGCUCACUUGUUGCAUGUAUUUCAGAAAUCUAAUACAAAUUUACAACAUCUCUAAUAACCGAGUUUUACACUUUAAAAAGAUCUUGAAAAUACAUACAGAAAAGAAGUCCUCCUUACAAGCAUUGUUUGGAGGGAAAAAUACAGUACAAAGUAAAGAGGGAGACACUUAUAGAUAGGUAACCAAGAUUAUGUAGCCCACUUCUUGCCAGCCCUCUUUUCACAGUUUUCUUAGUUCUAAUGUAAACAAUAUCCCAUAAUUAUUCAAUUCAACCUCCUUAGAAGCUUCUGUUGGUGAGUCCUGAACUCCAAAGGAAGCUUCACAGCACCCAAAGAUCCUAACCUUUCUGUGCCAAAACGCACUAUGUAUGUUUUUUCUGACCCUCCUAAACUAUACCCUGUCCCAUCUCAACAAUUGGCUACCCUAGCCAACACUUCUUAUCCUUGCCUAUCACUCUGCUGGUUUAGGUACUUAGCUUAACUUCUAAUAUCGGAUCCAUCAUUGUUUUGUCAAACAAGGUAACUUUUCAACACAUCUUUGAGACACUCCUUUGCACCCUCUCUCAUUCUCAGGAUAGCAUCAUUGACUGGACUUGCUUCAUUACUAUGGCUUUGCAGAAUGGAUCAACCUCAGGUAGCCCUAUUACAAAAGGAACUGACUCAGCUCAAGAGAAAAGCUUCAACUCCCUAUGAUUUCAUCUUUGACCCGACCAACCAGAGCUCCUGACUCACCCACCCACUACCCACCAAAUUAUCCUUAAGAACUCUGAUCCCUGAAUGCUCGGGAAAUUCAUUUGAGUAAAAAUAAAACUCCAGUCUCCUGUACAGCCAGCUCUGUGUAAAUUACUCUUUCUCUGUUGUAAUUCCCGUCUUGAUAAAUUGGCUCAGUCUAGUCAGUGAGCAAGGUGACAAGUCCAAGAGAAAAAAAUAUUUUUUGAAAUACACAUAUGUGAGUGCAUGUACACAUUCCUUGUUCUCAAAACUUACUGUAACAGAACUCAAUGUUAACGUCAUUCCUCGCUAAGUUACAAAGUUAAGAAUAACACAGUGGUGUGAAUUUUUUAAUCAAAGAAGUACAAGGUAUUUUUAGAUUGUUUCUAAUGACAGAGUUUUACUGAUGUUCUUGUUUCCAUGCAUCUCCACAUAUCUCCACAACUGGAAAUUCCACUAGCAGUAUUCUUUCAUGUAUUCCUUUCUUCAUUCAUUCACUAACUACUUUUUGGAAGGGUACCAUGUGCGAGACACUGUUCUUGAUACAGAGAUGAACAAAAAAGAAAAAAUCUUUGCCAUAAUGGACCUUGCAUUCAAGUGUGGGGAGACAAGAACAUGUAAACCAAUAAUACUUUCAAAUAGUCUGAUAUGAAGAAUAUGCAACGCAGUAAAGAGAUACAAAGAGAGAGGGAGCUAUGUUAGAGAGGCUGGCCAAGUAAGGAUUUGCUAAAUUUUCACAUUUGAAAGGAAACCUAAAUGAUGUUUAUUAUCACGGGGAUCUUGAGGAUAAGUACUGAUGGCACAGGAAGCAGAAGGUACAAAUCCCUGAGGCGGCAAUUCAAGGAAUAGAAAGGCCAGGUGGCUGGAACACAGUAAACUAUAACAGAUUGUCUCCAUUAAAUGCAAAGAAAUUUAACUGAAAACAUAGUAAACCCUUCAUAUAUUUCCUAAGAAAUGCUGCACCUGACAGGGAGAAAAUAGAAGUUUUAGAUGUGAAUGAUGGGUAUUCUGAUAGACUCAAUAGUUAAGAGACACUCUCUCUCACAUCAGUCUGGCAGAAAAUAUGAUUCAAAUGAGUACAGUAGGGAAUUUAUAAAUUAUUACAUGUCAUGACCUUUGGAGUCUGAGGUAGAUUAAAACCACAAGAAUUGAC
RNAcentral lists this long non-coding RNA (2341 nucleotides) under Homo sapiens (human). Its description in RNAcentral is "HSALNT0133515". Lineage: Eukaryota; Metazoa; Chordata; Mammalia; Primates; Hominidae. The record is from RNAcentral.